CCAGACUCCUACGGGAGGCAGCAGUGGGGAAUAUUGCACAAUGGGCGAAAGCCUGAUGCAGCAACGCCGCGUGAAGGAAGAAGGGUUUCGGCUCGUAAACUUCUAUCAACAGGGACGAAAGAAAUGACGGUACCUGAAUAAGAAGCCCCGGCUAACUACGUGCCAGCAGCCGCGGUAAUACGUAGGGGGCAAGCGUUGUCCGGAUUUACUGGGUGUAAAGGGCGUGUAGCCGGGCUUACAAGUCAGAUGUGAAAUCCGGGGGCUCAACCCCCGAACUGCAUUUGAAGCUGUAGGUCUUGAGUAUCGGAGAGGCAGGCGGAAUUCCUAGUGUAGCGGUGAAAUGCGUAGAUAUUAGGAGGAACACCAGUGGCGAAGGCGUCGUACUGGACCGAAACUGACGUUGAGGCUCGAAAGCGUGGGGAGCAAACAGGAUUAGAUACCCGCGUAACA
Molecule: ribosomal RNA, 450 nt
Filed under: uncultured bacterium
Lineage: Bacteria
Description: bacterial SSU rRNA
Rfam family: Bacterial small subunit ribosomal RNA
Source: RNAcentral